GUCUACGAUCAUACCACGUUGAAAGCACCGCAUACCGCUUGAUAUGCGAAGUUAAGCAACGUUGGGCUGUCGUCAGUACCAGAAUAAGAGACGGUUGGGAACACGCAGUGUCGUAGACA
Trichinella nativa is the source of this 119-nucleotide ribosomal RNA. NCBI's taxonomy places the organism in Eukaryota, Metazoa, Nematoda, Enoplea, Trichinellida, Trichinellidae. The record is from Rfam.